UAAGUCGACCGCCUGGGGAGUACGGCCGCAAGGUUAAAACUCAAAUGAAUUGACGGGGGCCCGCACAAGCGGUGGAGCAUGUGGUUUAAUUCGAUGCAACGCGAAGAACCUUACCUACUCUUGACAUCCAGAGAACUUUCCAGAGAUGGAUUGGUGCCUUCGGGAACUCUGAGACAGGUGCUGCAUGGCUGUCGUCAGCUCGUGUUGUGAAAUGUUGGGUUAAGUCCCGCAACGAGCGCAACCCUUAUCCUUUGUUGCCAGCGGUUCGGCCGGGAACUCAAAGGAGACUGCCAGUGAUAAACUGGAGGAAGGUGGGGAUGACGUCAAGUCAUCAUGGCCCUUACGAGUAGGGCUACACACGUGCUACAAUGGCGCAUACAAAGAGAAGCGACCUCGCGAGAGCAAGCGGACCUCAUAAAGUGCGUCGUAGUCCGGAUUGGAGUCUGCAACUCGACUCCAUGAAGUCGGAAUCGCUAGUAAUCGUGGAUCAGAAUGCCACGGUGAAUACGUUCCCGGGCCUUGUACACACCGCCCGUCACACCAUGGGAGUGGGUUGCAAAAGAAGUAGGUAGCUUAACCUUCGGGAGGGCGCUUACCACUUUGUGAUUCAUGACUGGGGUGAAGUCGUAACAAGGUAACCGUAGGGGAACCUGCGGUUGGAUCACCUCCUUACCUUAAAGAA
RNAcentral lists this ribosomal RNA (682 nucleotides) under Cutibacterium porci. RNAcentral's name for it is "bacterial SSU rRNA". It matches the Rfam family "Bacterial small subunit ribosomal RNA", at positions 861 to 1533 of the family's 1533-position model. The record is from RNAcentral. Lineage: Bacteria; Bacillati; Actinomycetota; Actinomycetes; Propionibacteriales; Propionibacteriaceae.